UAUGGGAUCCUUAUGGGGCACUAUGGGGUUCUAUGGAGGCUUAAAGGGGUCCUAUGGGGCUCUAUGGAGUCCUUAUGGGGUUCUUAUGGGGUCCUAUGGGAUUCUAUGGGGUCCUUAUGGGGCACUAUGCUGUCCCUAUGAGGUUGUAUGGGAACUCAAAGGGGUUCUAUGGGCUCUAUGGGGUCCUUAUAGGUUCUAUGGGGUCCUAUGGGGACCUCUGGGGGCUUUAUGGGGUUCUAUGGGGCUCUAUGGGGUCUUUAUGGGGUCCUAUGGGGUCUUUAUGGGGUCCUAUGGGGGCUUAAAUGAGUCCCAUGGGACUCAUUUGGGGUCCUUAUGGGGUCAUAUGGGUUCCUAUGGGGUCCUUAUGCGGUUCUAUGCGGUCUUAUGGGGUUCUAUGGGGUCUUUAUGGGGUCCUAUGGGGCUCUAUGGAGUCCUUAUGGGGCUCUAUGGGGUCCUAUGGGGUUCUAUGGGGUCCUACGGGACUCUAUGGGGUCCUUAUGGGGUCCUAUGGGGUCCCUAUGGGGUUUUAUGGGGUCCAAUGGGGUCCUAUGGGGUUCUAUGGGGUCUUAUGGGGUUCUAUGGGGUCCUAUGGGGUCUUUAUGGGGUCCUAUGGGGGCUUAAAGGGGAUCUAUGGGGUCCUAUGGGGUCCUUAUGAGGCUCUGUGGGGCUCUAUGGGGUCUUUAUGGGGUCCUAUGGGGUCUUAUGGGGGCUUUAUGGGGUUGUAUGGGGGCUUGAAGGGGCUCUUUGGGGUCUUUAUGGGGUCCUAUGGGGUCUUAUGGGGGCUUUAUGGGGUUGUAUGGGGGCUUGAAGGGGUUGUAUGGGGUCUUUAUGGGGUC
Molecule: long non-coding RNA, 836 nt
Organism: Gallus gallus (chicken)
Lineage: Eukaryota; Metazoa; Chordata; Aves; Galliformes; Phasianidae
Source: Ensembl